This 242-nucleotide long non-coding RNA is filed under the name Capsella grandiflora. RNAcentral describes it as "long non-coding RNA (CGRA_LNC001653)". The record is from RNAcentral. Lineage: Eukaryota; Viridiplantae; Streptophyta; Magnoliopsida; Brassicales; Brassicaceae.
CAAUUGAUUAGUUUCUAUUGUAGAUUUUGUAUUUAGAGAGAGAUUUGGGGGAACCUUUCAAAUAAAAUAAUAUGUUCAUCAUAAAUAUGGUUUCCGUUUUUAGUGCAAAAAUCAUCAUGAAUAUGGUUAUUAAUACCGCAAAAUCAUUUCGAAAAUCUCAGAAUAUUCAGCUCGCAAAUCAGCUAAUUUUUAGGGAUCCUAUAAGUUAAAUUUGUUGAAUAAUCGUGGAAACAAAUUUUAGA